Molecule: ribosomal RNA, 497 nt
Filed under: uncultured bacterium
Lineage: Bacteria
Description: partial 16S ribosomal RNA
Rfam family: Bacterial small subunit ribosomal RNA
Source: RNAcentral
GAUGAACGCUGGCGGCGUGCCUAAUACAUGCAAGUCGAGCGAACGGACGAGAAGCUUGCUUCUCUGAUGUUAGCGGCGGACGGGUGAGUAACACGUGGAUAACCUACCUAUAAGGCUGGGAUAACUUCGGGAAACCGGAGCUAAUACCGGAUGAUAUUUUGAACCGCAUGGUUCAAAAGUGAAAGACGGUCUUGCUGUCACUUAUAGAUGGAUCCGCGCUGCAUUAGCUAGUUGGUAAGGUAACGGCUUACCAAGGCAACGAUGCAUAGCCGACCUGAGAGGGUGAUCGGCCACACGGGAACUGAGACACGGUCCAGACUCCUACGGGAGGCAGCAGUAGGGAAUCUUCCGCAAUGGGCGAAAGCCUGACGGAGCAACGCCGCGUGAGUGAUGAAGGUCUUCGGAUCGUAAAACUCUGUUAUUAGGGAAGAACAUAUGUGUAAGUAACUGUGCACAUCUUGACGGUACCUAAUCAGAAAGCCACGGCUAACUACGUG